GAAAAAGCAAACCCUGGGUUUGCGUGUCCAACUUUGACUGUCCGUCUUAUAUGAAAUAUUUUUAUAAUUUAUAUUUUUAUUGUUGUUAGAUGAUAAAACAUGAUUAAUAUUUUAUGCGUGACUUGUCUUUUUAAUUUUUUUUAAAAAAAAUUCAAAUAAGACGAACGGUCAAACGUUGGACACGGAAACCAGGGUUUGUCUUUUU
RNAcentral lists this microRNA precursor (205 nucleotides) under Oryza sativa Japonica Group (Japanese rice). RNAcentral describes it as "MIR812 microRNA precursor family". It matches the Rfam family "MIR812 microRNA precursor family". Lineage: Eukaryota; Viridiplantae; Streptophyta; Magnoliopsida; Poales; Poaceae. The record is from Rfam by way of RNAcentral.